RNAcentral lists this ribosomal RNA (236 nucleotides) under uncultured bacterium. Its description in RNAcentral is "partial 16S ribosomal RNA". It matches the Rfam family "Bacterial small subunit ribosomal RNA", at positions 100 to 334 of the family's 1533-position model. The record is from RNAcentral.
CGGGACGGGUGAGUAACGCGUGGGUAACCUGCCUUGUACUGGGGGACAACAGUUAGAAAUGACUGCUAAUACCGCAUAAGCGCACAGUAUCGCAUGAUACAGUGUGAAAAACUCCGGUGGUACAAGAUGGACCCGCGUCUGAUUAGCUAGUUGGUAAGGUAACGGCUUACCAAGGCGACGAUCAGUAGCCGACCUGAGAGGGUGACCGGCCACAUUGGGACUGAGACACAGCCCAA